RNAcentral lists this ribosomal RNA (468 nucleotides) under uncultured bacterium. Its description in RNAcentral is "partial 16S ribosomal RNA". It matches the Rfam family "Bacterial small subunit ribosomal RNA", at positions 28 to 507 of the family's 1533-position model. The record is from RNAcentral.
GACGAACGCUGGCGGCGUGCUUAACACAUGCAAGUCGAGCGGAAAGGCCCUGCUUUUGUGGGGUGCUCGAGUGGCGAACGGGUGAGUAACACGUGAGUAACCUGCCCUUGACUUUGGGAUAACUUCAGGAAACUGGGGCUAAUACCGGAUAGGAGCUCCUGCUGCAUGGUGGGGGUUGGAAAGUUUCGGCGGUUGGGGAUGGACUCGCGGCUUAUCAGCUUGUUGGUGGGGUAGUGGCUUACCAAGGCUUUGACGGGUAGCCGGCCUGAGAGGGUGACCGGCCACAUUGGGACUGAGAUACGGCUCAGACUCCUACGGGAGGCAGCAGUGGGGAAUAUUGCACAAUGGGCGGAAGCCUGAUGCAGCAACGCCGCGUGCGGGAUGACGGCCUUCGGGUUGUAAACCGCUUUCGCCUGUGACGAAGCGUGAGUGACGGUAAUGGGUAAAGAAGCACCGGCUAACUACGUG